GUUUGUAAGAAUCAGCUUGCUAUACUCUAUUCAUAUCUUAUCUUCUUUUUGUCACAUUUGAGUUUUUUUGGAGUACUGAAAAAAUACCGUCUGUUCUCCUUUGCACUUUGCGUUCUCUUCAUUGUAUACUGCACGUGUCUUGUGCAGCAGCUGCUCUGAUAUGUUGGUCGUCAUCAUCACUAGCUAGAGGCUAUCUGGAAUGGAAGAACCUCAGAAAAAAAUGAUGAGGUCAAUGAUAAAAUAAACACCGAGCUCCUCAGGAACCUGACAACGGUGAUUGUGGCAGCACAGGGAAUCUUUACCAAAGCCUUGGAAAAAUGAAGGAAGAUUACUUGUAGACAAAUAAAAAAAAGACAUACUCUUGAAUCCUUAUGUGCCAAACUCCGCGACUUUUUCUUCUCUUGUUGACUGACAAUGAGAUUGCCAGUACUGAACAGCUGCCGCUGGUGCAAGUAAUAUGCUAUAACUGCAACAAAGGUCAUUGAUGGGCAGCUGCCAAACAGUUAUGGAUGUGUGGCUGAUCUGCGAGGCACCGAUCGUCUUUCUUGUACUCUCUUGAUGACUUAUGAAAUACAGCAGCAGCGAUGGAGGUUAUGUGAAAUCCAUGAUUAAAUUCAUGGUGAUUAAUGAUUUAUCUAGAUCCUUAAGUGAUCAAGAGGAUUCAGCGCUGUUGGAGGCUUCUCUGCCUUCAAAGACGGGUUUAACAGAUGCCUUCCUCGCCAAGAAAGAAGCUAACAAUGUAAUUAAAUUGGUUAAUUUUACUGUUAAUUACCGUAUGUUUGAAGAGCAAAAACAAAUUAUCUAUUGUAGAGGAACUGACAACAAUAGGUUAAUACGCUCAAAUCUUAUUCGAACACCUUAUUUUACAAAAGCAGCUAAUCUUUUCUCGUGUCAUGCAAGAAAAUCUAAUUAAACCCAUAUGGAGAUUGAUAGUUGAAAUUAGCAGCUGCAAAACUACUAGUGCCAGUGCCAUAUUGUUCUAGCUUCGUCCAGGAACUGUUGAUGAAAAUUGGGUUUGCUUCAAAUUGUUGUUGUUGAGGAAGUUGAAGUGGAUUUGCACGGGAGCUGUACACAGCAAUCUCAGCCUGAGUCCUGGCAAGCUGAUUCUCUGCCUUCUGGAUCUGGUUAUGUAAUACAGAGAUGAUCCCAACACAGCCGUACACAGGAUCUUCAAUCCUACAUUGUGCCUCAAAAUACAAUGAAUCUACUGCUUGACCUCUUAGAUGACUUGGCAGUUGCUGCAUACAAAACAAAGGAAUUCGCAAAUAAUCGAUCAGUCUCUUCUCAGUUUACGUGGAGGUCCAAAUUCGUGACUUUGUUCCACUUUUGUGAAGCAUCUUUGCAACAUUGCUGGCACCAUAAAUUUUGUGGACAAAAGCAAAUCUUUGAGGAUUAUUUGAAGGAAAA
This is a non-coding RNA of Carica papaya (papaya), 1407 nucleotides long. The record is from RefSeq and is a predicted model, not a curated record. NCBI's taxonomy places the organism in Eukaryota, Viridiplantae, Streptophyta, Magnoliopsida, Brassicales, Caricaceae.